GAUAAUCAUUCCUGUGGUUCUGUGUAUUCAACAUGACUCAGCAUUAUCUUUCAAGGGACAGAAGAGAAGAUGUUAAUUUGGAUGGAAUUUUUAUCCUUUGGGCAUUUAUGAGACAUGACAUUCUCAACAAUGACAAUUUAACAAUGAAAUCAAAGUAUCCAUCAACUCUGACAACACCGAAGAUGCUCUCCAUCCUGCAUCAUCAAAAAUGCCAUCAAGAUUUGAUUCUCUGCAUAAAAAUAAACAGCACAACCAUUUCAUUAAGAAAUCACCAAGAUUAAUAGAAGAAAAGUCUAAUAAAAUUGAAGAUGUGUGACCUUCAUACAUUAACCUGCCUGUCUAAUAAUCCUUUCCAAACAUGAAACAAGAUUGAUGUCUGUGACUUGGUGAUAGUGAAGCUGUGUUAGCUAAAGGGAUGCCCUAUUAUCCUUCAUGAGUUAGCCAUUUAGGUGCAUUCUUCAGGAUUCCACCUUUGUACAGAUAUAUUAACCGUUAAGUAUUUUUCAGAAUUUGAUUUUUUGAUAUAAACACAUUGGUCUCCUUCUGGUACUUUGACAUAGAAUUUACUAGUGGCACUUAUUGGCACACAUGUAUCUGUCAUACACAAAUACUCUGCACCAUGCCAAGUAUUUUAAGGAUCAUCUAUUUGGAGCGUUUAUGAUACCGUGACUUAACAUCCUCUUAUCAUGUAGUAGGUGCAGAAAACAAUAAUUAGAGAGAGAAAAUCAUGUGCCCAAGGCCACUUAGCCAGAAAGAGAAGGAGCUGAGUCAAGUCACUUUGAUUUCACCAUUGGGCUUUCCACAGCCUGUCCUUUCUAGGCCACCAAAACCUUCCCCAAUUUUUAUCAAGACUAAACAUGUCAGCUCUCUCUUUUAAAAUUCCUAAAUACCUUUUGAAGUACUCACAGCAUGGUAGAUGUGGAUCAAAUACCGUGAGGCUAUAGCAACACGAGAAUGCAACAGCAGCCUAUUAUUUCAGCCACAAUGUGGAGACAUUCCAUAGCAACCUCACAUGGAUGCUAUGAGGGUAGAAAUAAGGAAGCACAUGUCAGAUGCUAGUAAUGAAAAUGUGCACUCAAAGUUCAGGUUAUAUUUGGUACAGCAGCAACUACAGCACCUGUGUAGAGCUAUCCAAUGCUUCCCUUGUGCAGAAUAUGAGGUGUUUAAAUAUCCUGUAGAGUAUGGCUGUCAAUGCUCUUAGGGGUGAAGUCUUCAGCAAAUAAUACAUGUAAGAAGCCCAUGAGAGACCAGGUGGUGGUGGCACAUGGCUUUAAUCCCAGCACUCGGGAGGCAGAUCUCUGUGAGUUUGAUGCCAGCCUGGUCUACAGAGUGAGUGCCAGGAUAGGCUCUAAAGCUACAGAGAAGCCCUGUCUGAAAAAAAAAAAAAAAAAAAAAAAAGAAUCACAUGAGUUUAAGAGCCGAGUUUAGAGAAGAUUCUAAGGCGGGUUUUGCCUGACAGAUGGAAGCAAUGAAGACUGAAGAGGGCAUUUUAGGCAAAUAGAACAAUGUGUACAACAGCACAGAGGCAUGAAAAGGACCACAUUCUCUUUGAUCAGUCAUUUGACAUGCAUGUGCAUGUGCGUGGUAGAUCAUUUGAAUACAUUCAAGAUCUUGGUUUCCUCUUCCAAAGAAGUCCCAAUACAAUGUAGCCACAAUUAUGGGAAAACAGUGUUAAUAUAUCACAGGUGCCUGGUAUAUUCUGUGUUAAAUGAAGAAAUGUCAGGUACUGCUUGUGUCUGAGUCAGACCCUCAGGAGGGCAGAGAAUGUCCCUCUUGGCAUGCUGUGAUUUAUAGAGCCCUAGAAGGAAAAGUGGUGUCUGGCAGGUUGGUGUAAGUUGGAUACAUGGAAGGGGGAAGAUGUGCCAAGGGCAUGAAGAACAGUCAUCGAUAGACUAAGUAGGAGACAGGCAUAUUCUUCCUUUUGCAGAGCUGGGGAAUUUAACCAGGGUCUUGAACACUCUUGACAAGUGCUCUAUCACCCAGCUGUAUCCCUAAGAGGCAUCUCCAAGGCAGGAGAAGGUGGAAGGAAGACUUUUGAACUGUAUGUCACCGGCUCUGUGGUAAGAUGUUAGUGGCUGUCACUCAACACUGAGUUCUGGGAACGACUCGUGGUUAAAAUGCUGUGAUGCAAGAGUGAGGAUCAGAGUUCAUAUCCCCAGAAACCCACAUAAACACCAGGUGGGCAGGGUAGCCCCACUGUCAUUCCUGCCUCAGAAGAAGGAAGCAGAAGGUCCCCAGAGCAAGUUGGCUAGCAAGAGAGCUCUAGUUUUUUGAUUGAGAGACCAACCUCAAUGAAUUAGGAAAAAGAGCUACAGCAGAGGAUUUCCACUUUCAGUCUCAGAGCCCCAAAAGCACAAGCACACACAUAUACAUGUGUGGCUACACAUAUACAAACACAAGUGUGAGCACAGACACACACACACACACACACACACACACACACACACACACACACACACUGGAAACAGAUGAACAAAGCAAUUCAGCAUGCCCAGGAUUAUUCUUCAUCCUCCACUUGACGUUUAAAGAGACUCCUGUCCACUGGCUACUGGAUCCUGGAAUAGACACUUGAACCAGACAAGACACUGGAGUCUUUGAUCUCACUUCACACUUCUCGGCACCCUGUGUGUUAUGCUGUCACCCUCUGGUGACAGAUGAAAAGGCUGAAGCUACAGGGUGUGUGUGUGGUGCUGUGGUGCAGUUCCUGUCCUUCUUUGACAUAAUUGGCUUUAAAACAGUGACUUCAGUGGAGUCGCUCCAGUGCUGGAGACAUCCCCAAGGCCUUAGUCUCAAUCCCUAUGGCCUGAAAUUGGUUUGGAGUACAACGUUUCUGCUAAAGAGCUAGCAAGCCAGCUCAGGAAGUAAGAAUGCUUGUUGUGUAAGCAUGGAGACCUGAGUCUGAAUUCCCAACACCCAAGUUAAAAACUGUGCAUGGGUGGGCAUGCCUGUUACUCCAGUGUUGGGGCCAGACAGACGUGGACAUUGAAAGCUUGACUGCAAGACUGCCCAGCUGAAAUGGUUGCACUUCUAAUUCAGUGAGAGAUCCCGACUCAUAUUGAUAAGGCGGAGAGCUAAAUACAGGAGAACAAGAAGCCUUUGUCCUCUGGUCCCUGAAUCUGAUGCAUGCUUACAGGUGUGCACAUUUAUGUACAUGCACACUGCAUGCGUGCAUACUGCACACAUACACGCACUGCUAUCACACAUGCACACGCUGCAUACACGCUGCACACAUAUGCACACUGUACACACAUGUCCACACACACCUUGCACACACACACACUGCACAUACAUUGUGCACACACGCACACUUUUUCAAAAAGCAGGUGGUGGGACUUUCUCAAGAUCUUCCCGUAUUCUCAGCAUACAGCCUUGGCUUCCAUGGUUUUCCAGGGGUUCACAUGAAAUGUUAGUUUCAUCUGCCCAGGUGGAUGUUCUGAAGCCUCACAGAGAAAAUCAAAAUGAGAACAAAGAGAGAGAAAGCUGAGACAUGAGAGAAUAUGCAGAACGAAAGCACAUUAUUACCUAAACUAGCAAAGUAGGGAGGGGAAAUAUUUUCAUUUCUGCAAAGGCCAUGUGUGAGUGCCUACAGGGAAAUCGUAUCCACAGCCUUGUGACUGAACCAAUAACUCAUAUCUGAUUCAGAAGCCGACUUUGUUGGAUUACUGUGCUACAGCUGUUCUCAGUCUACGUCCAGCCUCUCCCAACGGGACUGAUUGUAACAACACGUCUCAUUUAUAGAUCUCAUGUGCAGAGGCCUGGAAACCCAAAUUAAAACCUUAUGGAUGUUACUUUGGUGAAUUCAACUCCAAAGCAUUUUGGCUCCUCUGAACAGGUCAUUUUCAAUGUAGAGGGGUUCUGGAACACAAUGGAAAGGAUGCUUCUUUUGUACUUAGCCUUUUUAUGUGGGGGAUGUGAUUUGACAUAAAAUUAAUAACGGAAUAUAUUCUAGUAGCAUGUUGAGCUGUGGUCAGGCUUAGUAGGGGUUGAAUGGAAAGAGGAGAGGAAAAUGAGCAGAUGGGAAUGAGAUGGGUAGAACUUGGGAACUCAAGUGUUGGUCCUCAGGGAACAUCAGCAGGGGACCCGGACAACAGGACUUGUUCUCUAAGUAUGUUUUCCUAGGCACUGAGACCCAAAAGAUGAGAAACAUCUUGACCAAAGUUACCCCAGUAUGCAAUAGAGGUAGCACUAAGCACUCCAUCUGGAUUCAUUACUCAACUACCCUGUCUAAAAUUGCCUUGAAGUCACUAUGGCAACUUUAGGAAAAUGUAAGGGGAAACAAACACUCGAUAGUGGCUUCCGAGAAAGCAUUCAGCUUUACAGGUCAAGGGAAUUCUUCCAGUUUGUCCCGGGUCAGACAUAUUCUAGUCAGGUGUGGCUUAAUGAGGGUAGGAAAAUGCGAGCAGAUGUAAGGGACGUUUUAGAAAGAGAAAGAGCAGGAUGGACUAGAUUCUGUAGAAGUGGAAAAGGACACUGAGUGAGGACACUGGAUUCAUUCUAGAAAUAUUUUCUUUGUCAAUGUUCAGUGUUUGUCUCACUACUUCCUUUCCUCUAAUCUCUCAUUCUUUCUGGUGCACUAGGGUGAGAUACACAGAGACAGAAACAGCUGCCACAGAGCUUAAGGGAGGAAUGGCUGAGGUUUGCAUGGCUUCUACUUACUACAGAUGCGUACAUACCUUGUGCAUCUAGUCUAGUCUCCACCUCUUCAGGAAAUAGGCAAGAGACACAGAAUGUAUGUAAGCCAUUAUGGUCCUCUGUGAGGAAACUGAGGAAGGAUCUACAUGCACUGCUAUCACACAUGCACACAUGCUUGUACAUACCGCGCGAUUUGUAGAAAAGACUUCCGUUUCUAAAUUAUAUUUUUAUGUGUCUGGGUGCCACAUGCACUCCUAGUGCCCACAGAGGCCAGAAGAGGGUGUUGGAUCAUCUGGCACUAGAAUUACAGAUGAUUGGGAACUGCCAUGUGAGUGCUGAGAAUUGAACCUGGGUCCCCUGGAAGAGCAACCAGUGCUUUUUAACUGCAGAGCCAUUUCUUCAGUCCCAACUAAGAAAGGGCCAUUAAGCUGGUUUAAGCUGAUCUUUAGGAGAAUGAAUGGGAGGUAGCCAAUCAUGGAGGACAGAGGACAAAGAAAGACCACAUGGAAAAAGUGCCUGUUUUUAUCCAGUUAGACUUGUCUAGGGAUUGGGAGAAGAGGGGCCACCAGGAGAAAAUAAGUUGGAGACGUGGCCUGUAACCAAGCUAGAAAGCUAUGCCAAGCCCAGACUCAAUCCCUGAGGCAAUGGGAUGGAAGCAGGGAGAUGUCAUGACAUAAUAAUCCAAGGAGUCAUAUAUUCAGGUGAGCAUCUUAUGAAGUCACUGCCAGCCUAAACAAGAUUCAUUAAAGAAGGGGACAGGACUGAGACCUGGAGACUAGACGUGGAUAUUUGUCAUAGUGUAGAUAGAGAAUGAUCUAGAAGUGGGAGAGGGUUUAGAGGGAGAAGCAACAAGACCUGUGACUGACUUGGUUUUGGAGAAGAAGAGCAAAGCUAAGUUGGGAGGAGAUUAAUUUCAUUCAUCAAAAGCCCCGGUCUAUCUGUGUGCUGCUCUGUGAUGACUUUUUUUAAGUAAACUCUUCAUUUCAUAGCCAGUUUUCCUCACUGGGAGAGACACAGGCUUACAUUCUGCUGAGUACUAUUAGAAAUUCAAGAAUUAACCUGUUUAUUCCUUUCCUUCUCCAGCUACUUCUACUGUUUUCAUUGUUAAGUUUUUAAAACAUUUAUUUGUGUGUGUGUGUG
RNAcentral lists this long non-coding RNA (5772 nucleotides) under Cricetulus griseus (Chinese hamster). RNAcentral describes it as "lncRNA (ENSCGRG00015040798.1)". The record is from RNAcentral. Lineage: Eukaryota; Metazoa; Chordata; Mammalia; Rodentia; Cricetidae.